Molecule: ribosomal RNA, 253 nt
Filed under: uncultured bacterium
Lineage: Bacteria
Description: partial 16S ribosomal RNA
Rfam family: Bacterial small subunit ribosomal RNA
Source: RNAcentral
UACGUAGGGUGCGAGCGUUGUCCGGAAUUAUUGGGCGUAAAGAGCUCGUAGGCGGUUUGUUGCGUCUAUCGUGAAAACCUGCGGCUUAACUGUGGGCUUGCGGUGGAUACGGGCAGACUUGAGUUCGGUAGGGGAGACUGGAAUUCCUGGUGUAGCGGUGAAAUGCGCAGAUAUCAGGAGGAACACCGGUGGCGAAGGCGGGUCUCUGGGCAUUAACUGACGCUGAGGAGCGAAAGCAUGGGGAGCGAACAGG